UCUGCCCCACCUCUUGGGCUGGAUGGGAAGGACCCCUCUAUCCAAAGCCCACUCAAUUCCAUACUCAACAUCCCAAGUCUGGGUCUUUGAACAGGAUUCCACAAGGGCCCGGUGUGGGUAACAAGCUGAGGGCUGUUCUCUGAUCUGCCCUCCUCCACACUCCCUACCCGGCCUGAUGGAAUGGCACUGAACUGCCUCAGGAGCUGGGACAGGGGAUGGGGUGUGGCUGCUAAUGUCACUGCCUCCCACUAAGUCCCAUCCCACCUGGGCCCACAGAGCUCCUGCUGUGGUUAGCACCUCCGCCAUCAUUACAACUCUACUGUGACUGCCCCUGUCACACAGCCACCCUACCCAUCACCAGCACCACCAACACCCCCACCCCACCGGGACCAUCACCACCAUUGAGACUCUCGCCAUCUCCAUGAAGAGCACCCCAGCUCACACCUGAAGAUGGGACAGGACUGGGGGAGCUGAGAAGGUGCAUUUGCAUCUGUUGCCUGAUUCUGGAGGCUUGGAAGCCUGAGGAAAAGCCUUCAGCAUGGGGGGCGAUGGCUUACAGCUGCUCGGAUUCUCCUGGCUGCUGUCCUGGUGGUCUCGGCUUCUGCCCUGCCCCUUCUUCCUGCUCACAGAGGCCUGAACGGUCUCCCUUGGCCUCUGGCACAUCUGCUUUGCGAGGCAGCAGAGAGAAGAUAAUCCUGUCAUUGAAACCCUUGGUGUCAUUCCUUCUCGGAGCCUCUCCCUCAGCUGAGAGGGCAGGGGGCACUCCUGGCAUAAGAACCUCCGGGGACCAGGAAGCUCCUCUAGCCUUGCCCCAGGCUUUGGGUCCCCACUCAGACCAGCCUGCCCAUUUGGGAACUGCUGGGGCCUCAGGCAGGGCCACACCAAGACCAGUUGUAUCAUCAGUGGCCAAGCCUGCAGCCCACAGGGUCCCCAAGUCCCAGCCAGCGUCCGAUGUGUCUGGACCUGCAGAGAAGAUCUUGGUCCCUGGCUCUCCAGAGAUUGCUGCCACAGCACUGUAGCAGGCUUCUCCUGGCCCAAGGCAUCUUGGGGUUGGGCCAAAGUCCAGUGAGCUUCCUGGCUUGUCCGUGACAGUCUGUGCUCCUACCCCUGCAAUCCUGAGGAUAUCUGUUACCUCUGGGCCAACCCGGCAGCCAGCUGCACCCACAUCUGGAUCCCUCAACUGCUGGCCUGGCCCAUGGGCAGGCCCACCUCCAGCCCCAAGGCCUGUAAGCCAUCUACAUCAGCAGCAAGCACCGUCAGGCCUGGGGCUUCCACACUUCUAUCUCCAAGGGCCCCAGAGAAGGCUGUGUCCUCAGCACCCCAGGGCCCACUUGUGUCUACAUUGAUGGAUAACACGUUAGCUGCCACAGAGCCUCCUCUCUCUGUAGCUCCAGGGUGGUCAGGCUGGACACGGACUCUCAAGCCCUCACAGUGGCCUCAGGGUCACCCAGAAAUAGUCUCAUGUCCAGUCUGGGCCCAGGGCCCUGUGGUCCUUUAAUGUUGCCAUUGCCUUCUACAGCACCCUCUUCACAGUCAUCAUCUCUGUCACUGCCACUAUUGUCCCCGCUCUCAUCCCCAUCACCCGCACUUCUGUGUUUGUCACCAAUACCUUCCUCACCACCACCAUUUCAGUCAACAUCACCAGUCCUGGCCCCAAUUUCCUCCUUCAUCCCCAGAGCCAAAACCUCUCCGGACCCUUCUGUGUCUGUGCUCCCCACCACAGGCACAGGCCUUCUCAUCAACGCUUCCAGCCUCCAA
Equus quagga is the source of this 1758-nucleotide long non-coding RNA. RefSeq lists it as uncharacterized. The transcript has 3 exons. The record is from RefSeq and is a predicted model, not a curated record. Lineage: Eukaryota; Metazoa; Chordata; Mammalia; Perissodactyla; Equidae.